CUCUCCUCAACCUUUCCUUUAAAUCUUAUUAUUUGCAAAUCACAAACCUAGAUCUCUAAAGCAAGGAUUCAAAUCAUCGAUUGAAGGCCAGUAAUGAAGCAAUUCUCAUGUAUCUCUGAUUCAUCCUAAUCGUCACCCUCUUGGUAUGUUAAGUUUUAAUCUUAUAAUCUUACGUUUAUACAAAACCCUAAUUAUGAUAUGUGCGAUUUUCAGACCUUCAAACUUCUACAAAACCCUGCUAUGAACCGAAUUCCCUUGAUGUUUCCACUGAUUGGAUUCUAUAUAAAAUUUGGCUUCUAAUUAUUGCAAUUUUCUAAGAUUUUUCUUCAAUGGUAGCAGAUCUCUGUUAAUUUUCAAGUUAUCGUUUUUGCUCAGGUAAAUGUUCUAUUGGUUUUUUUGGAUUAUAUAAUAGUUUAUUAUUGGCUUAUUUUUUUUUUUGUUAAUCAUAUGUAUAUGUCAUUGAUUUAAUUGGAAUUAGAUUUAUAUGAUAUGGUUUGAAACAUGUGACUGUAUUGUGAUUUUUUGGGGUAAAUUUGGUUACAUUCACCAAGUUUAGAAGUGUAGAUUGGAUUUUGGAGUUUAUAAAUUGUGAAAUUAGAGAUCAGUGUAGAAAGAUACUCUUACAACUCUUUUGAUUCUACAAUACUUUGUUUGUUCGGUUUUUUAUUUUGUUUCUGUUUGUUGAGAGAUAUUCAGUUUUCAAUCAUUUUCGCUCUGUGAUUCUUUUCGAGUUUCUGGACAAAUUUUUUUCCGGUAAAGUUCUUUUAACAUCACGUUGUAGUUUUUAUUAUUGAUUUAUUGAAAAACUUUCAUUGAGUUCUUCUUCAUCUAGGUAAUCAUUUUCUAUUCAAAUAUGGUUUUAGUUCUUUUAAUCAAUUGUAAUAAUACCUUAAUUCCCACAAUCGAUAUUAUUACGUGUCCAUAUCGGUUGUCGUAGUAUUGUAGCUCCAUCACCAUUAAGUUUGGUUAAAUAAUACAAUUAGUGUUGCAGAGAUAGCACAUGAGGAUAUACAAGAGUAGUUUGAACUCGAAAAACAGUAGAUAAUGUUACUUCCACCAGUGGCGUAUAUAGAGUAUGUUCUUAAUCCCUUUCGGCUUGAGUUACUUUAUUGUCAUUUGUUUUUUUAUUUAACAAGAUUAAUAUUCAAUCAGUACUUAUUUGUUAAUAAUAAGAAUUAUAUUAUGGCUACAUAUUUAUUUAUUUAUUUAGAAUCCCGUAUGGGUCAAACAAGGUUAAAGUCACUAGACUUUAUACCUUUUAUACCAAGUUACUAACCAAAUGGGUCAAGCUAGCUUACUUCAUUUUUUGAAUCAUAAGACUAUGAGGGGCGGAAUGGCCAAUUUUGGUUCGUGUUCCUUAAUUGGGUCAACUGAAAAAAAAAACUACCUGAAUGUGGAUUGGGGCAAAUGGGUUGA
RNAcentral lists this long non-coding RNA (1416 nucleotides) under Helianthus annuus (common sunflower). The record is from RNAcentral. Lineage: Eukaryota; Viridiplantae; Streptophyta; Magnoliopsida; Asterales; Asteraceae.